AUUCCUUUGCAUUGCCAUGCAUCUGGACAAAGAGUAAAUUUGGACAAAUGUUAUGUGUUCUUUAGCAAGGGGUGCUCAAAUGAUUUUCCACAGGAGGUAAAGAAUGCCCUAAAUGUUCAGGUGGAGGCUUUGUCUGAUAGAUAUUUAGGCAUGCCUACCGAGGUUGGGAGAUCUAAGAAUGGGGGUUCAAAAUACCUCAAGGAUAGAGUCUAUAAAAUGGUUCAAGGAUGA
RNAcentral lists this ribosomal RNA (231 nucleotides) under Triticum aestivum (bread wheat). RNAcentral describes it as "partial small subunit ribosomal RNA". Lineage: Eukaryota; Viridiplantae; Streptophyta; Magnoliopsida; Poales; Poaceae. The record is from RNAcentral.